Molecule: long non-coding RNA, 607 nt
Filed under: Homo sapiens (human)
Lineage: Eukaryota; Metazoa; Chordata; Mammalia; Primates; Hominidae
Description: non-protein coding PANTR1:40
Source: RNAcentral
GGAGGGUGCCGGUCAGCGGAGCCGUGCGAUGUAUUUGAAAAGCAAUCAGUCCGACCUUCCCCCAUAGAUUCAUCCUGCCUGAAAAUCAUAUGCGUGGUUUUUCCUGUUUCCUGCUCUGUAGCUGACAUCAGGGGAGCAACGUGAACACAGGAAAAUGGAAAUCAACAUUUGAAACUUUUAAAUGGAAGCUUUAUUGGGGUUCCACAUAUGGAAAACUGCAAAUAGCAGAAGUAUGUGACUCAAUAAAUUAUUCUGGAGUGACCACAUCCUCUAACUGCCUCCCAGGACAAGACGGAGAAUGUGAACAAUGCUCCUGAAGGCCCCUUUCCCUCAAAGAAUCACUGCAAUUGAAGGAAAAAUGCUCCAUGUCCCCUCUGCCAGUUGGUGUUUAUCAAAGGACAACGGAGGAAGAGAGACAAAGUGCCUGGAUGUGUGUGUUAAUCAAGAGUUGUCAGGACCCUGCCUCUAAAAGAAAGCGCUAAAAUGAUGCUUUUGACAAGACUUUUCUCAAAGUGGAUGCAGUCUAAGGGUUGGAAAACAAGGCCCAAUCAGGCUAGGUCUGACUUGUCGCCUGCUUUUGUAAAUAAAGUUUUAUUGGCUCACAGAC